Long non-coding RNA from Sinocyclocheilus anshuiensis, 201 nucleotides. RefSeq lists it as uncharacterized. The transcript is spliced from 3 exons. The record is from RefSeq and is a predicted model, not a curated record. Lineage: Eukaryota; Metazoa; Chordata; Actinopteri; Cypriniformes; Cyprinidae.
GAUCUAAGAUGGUGGUGAAUAUGCAUGGACAAGCUGUGUUGGAAAACAUGAACAUCUCCAGUGAGGAAACCACAGAAAUUGAGAUGGAGGACACAACCCUUACAUCUGUGACAGUCCCAACCACAGAAAAUGAAAUGGUGUGUAACAUCAAACACCUGUCUGCAAAUAGAGUGUGCUGGGAUUGUCUACCAAGUCAUAGGC